RNAcentral lists this ribosomal RNA (440 nucleotides) under uncultured bacterium. Its description in RNAcentral is "partial 16S ribosomal RNA". It matches the Rfam family "Bacterial small subunit ribosomal RNA", at positions 338 to 795 of the family's 1533-position model. The record is from RNAcentral.
CCUACGGGCGGCAGCAGUGGGGAAUAUUGCACAAUGGGGGAAACCCUGAUGCAGCGACGCCGCGUGAAGGAAGAAGUAUUUCGGUAUGUAAACUUCUAUCAGCAGGGAAGAAAAUGACGGUACCUGACUAAGAAGCCCCGGCUAACUACGUGCCAGCAGCCGCGGUAAUACGUAGGGGGCAAGCGUUAUCCGGAUUUACUGGGUGUAAAGGGAGCGUAGACGGCAAGGCAAGUCUGGUGUGAAAGGCAGGGGCGCAACCCCUGGACUGCAUUGGAAACUGUCAGGCUGGAGUGCAGGAGAGGUAAGUGGAAUUCCUAGUGUAGCGGUGAAAUGCGUAGAUAUUAGGAGGAACACCAGUGGCGAAGGCGACUUACUGGACUGUAACUGACGUUGAGGCUCGAAAGCGUGGGGAGCAAACAGGAUUAGAUACCCGAGUAGUC